GGAAUCUUGCACAAUGGGCGACAGCCUGAUGCAGCAACGCCGCGUGUGGGAUGAAGGCCUUCGGGUUGUAAACCACUUUCAGGAGGGAAGAAAUUGACGGUACCUCCAAAAGAAGCACCGGCCAACUACGUGCCAGCAGCCGCGGUAAUACGUAGGGUGCAGGCGUUAUCCGGAGUCAUUGGGCGUAAAGAGCUCGUAGGCGGUUCAGCAAGUCGGCUGUGAAAGUUCAAGGCUCAACCUUGAAAAUGCAGUCGAUACUGCUGUGACUAGAGUCUGGUAGAGGAGAAUGGAAUUCCCGGUGUAGCGGUGGAAUGCGCAGAUAUCGGGAGGAACACCAGUAGCGAAGGCGGUUCUCUGGGCCUCGACUGACGCUGAGGAGCGAAAGCGUGGGGAGCAAAC
RNAcentral lists this ribosomal RNA (399 nucleotides) under uncultured bacterium. Its description in RNAcentral is "bacterial SSU rRNA". It matches the Rfam family "Bacterial small subunit ribosomal RNA", at positions 358 to 773 of the family's 1533-position model. The record is from RNAcentral.